GACGAACGCUGGCGGCGUGCUUAACACAUGCAAGUCGAACGAAGUGGCGAACGGGUGAGUAACGCGUAAUCAACCUGCCCUUCAGAGGGGGACAACAGUUGGCAACGACUGCUAAUACCGCAUACUGAAGGCGGGGAUUGCGUCUGAUUAGCUAGUUGGAGGGGUAACGGCCCACCAAGGCGAGGAUCAGUAGCCGGUCUGGGAGGAUGAACGGCCACAUUGGGACUGAGAAACGGCCCAGACGCCUACGGGAGGCAGCAGUAGGGAAGCUUCGGAAAUGGGGGGAACCCUGACCGAGCAACGCCGCGUGAGUGAAGAAGGUGUUCGGAUCGUAAAGCUCUGUUGUUAAGGAAGCGGUACUUAACCAGAAAGGGACGGCUAACUACGUGCCAGCAGCCGCGGUAAUAC
This 408-nucleotide ribosomal RNA is filed under the name uncultured bacterium. RNAcentral describes it as "partial 16S ribosomal RNA". It matches the Rfam family "Bacterial small subunit ribosomal RNA", at positions 28 to 526 of the family's 1533-position model. The record is from RNAcentral.